GGGUCGGUGCCCGAGUGGCUAAAGGGGAUGGGCUGUAAACCCAUUGGCGAGAGCCUUCGCUGGUUCGAAUCCAGCCCGGCCCA
Molecule: transfer RNA, 83 nt
Organism: Phycisphaerae bacterium
Lineage: Bacteria; Pseudomonadati; Planctomycetota; Phycisphaerae
Rfam family: tRNA
About the family: Transfer RNA (tRNA) molecules are approximately 80 nucleotides in length. Their secondary structure includes four short double-helical elements and three loops (D, anti-codon, and T loops).
Source: Rfam